AGUUAUUUAGUUUAAAAAAAACGUAUAUCUUGAAAAUAUAAAAUAGAGAAAUUUAAUAGCUU
This 62-nucleotide transfer RNA is filed under the name Ujna puerana. RNAcentral describes it as "tRNA-Ser". Lineage: Eukaryota; Metazoa; Arthropoda; Insecta; Hemiptera; Cicadellidae. The record is from RNAcentral.